GCCAGGUGUGAUGGCUCACACCUGUAAUCCCAGCACUUAGGGAGGCUGAGGCAGGUGGAUCACCUGAGGUCAGGAGUUCGAGACCAGCCUGGCCAACAUGGUGAAACCCUGUCUCUA
Molecule: signal recognition particle RNA, 117 nt
Filed under: Gorilla gorilla gorilla (western lowland gorilla)
Lineage: Eukaryota; Metazoa; Chordata; Mammalia; Primates; Hominidae
Description: Metazoan signal recognition particle RNA
Rfam family: Metazoan signal recognition particle RNA
About the family: The signal recognition particle (SRP) is a universally conserved ribonucleoprotein. It is involved in the co-translational targeting of proteins to membranes.
Source: Rfam by way of RNAcentral